UACGGCCACAGCGUUGAAACACCGAUUCAAGUACGAUCACCGAAGUUAAGCAACGUCGAGUCUGGUCAGUACCUAGAUUGGUGAACGCUUGGAAAUACCAAGUGCUGUAAG
This is a non-coding RNA of Acanthosepion pharaonis, 111 nucleotides long. Lineage: Eukaryota; Metazoa; Mollusca; Cephalopoda; Sepiida; Sepiidae. The record is from the annotation of a GenBank genome assembly.